CAGUCGCCACGGUAAUACGUAGGAUGCGAGCGUUAAUCGGAAUUACUGGGCGUAGAGCGUGCGCAGGCGGUUAUGCAAGACAGAUGUGAAAUCCCCGGGCUCAACCUGGGAACUGCAUUUGUGACUGCAUGACUAGAGUACGGCAGAGGGGGAUGGAAUUCCGCGUGUAGCAGUGAAAUGCGUAGAUAUGUGGAGGAAUACCGAUGGCGAAGGCAGCCCCCUGGGAUAACACUGACGCUCAUGCACGAAAGCGUGGGGAGCAAACAGGAUUAGAUAUCCCCGUAGUCCCUGUCUCUUAUAC
Molecule: ribosomal RNA, 301 nt
Filed under: uncultured bacterium
Lineage: Bacteria
Description: partial 16S ribosomal RNA
Rfam family: Bacterial small subunit ribosomal RNA
Source: RNAcentral